Molecule: ribosomal RNA, 449 nt
Filed under: uncultured bacterium
Lineage: Bacteria
Description: partial 16S ribosomal RNA
Rfam family: Bacterial small subunit ribosomal RNA
Source: RNAcentral
AACGAACGCUGGCGGCAGGCUUAACACAUGCAAGUCGAACGCAUCCUUCGGGGUGAGUGGCAGACGGGUGAGUAACGCGUGGGAACGUGCCCUUCAGUUCGGGAUAACCCAGGGAAACUUGGGCUAAUACCGGAUACGUGCGAGAGCAGAAAGAUUUAUCGCUGAAGGAUCGGCCCGCGUCGGAUUAGCUAGUUGGUGGGGUAAUGGCCCACCAAGGCGACGAUCAGUAGCUGGUCUGAGAGGAUGAUCAGCCACAUUGGGACUGAGACACGGCCCAAACUCCUACGGGAGGCAGCAGUGGGGAAUAUUGGACAAUGGGCGCAAGCCUGAUCCAGCCAUGCCGCGUGAGUGAUGAAGGCCUUAGGGUUGUAAAGCUCUUUCGCCCGGGACGAUAAUGACGGUACCGGAAGAAGAAGCCCCGGCUAACUUCGUGCCAGCAGCCGCAGUAA